Molecule: long non-coding RNA, 407 nt
Organism: Drosophila obscura
Lineage: Eukaryota; Metazoa; Arthropoda; Insecta; Diptera; Drosophilidae
Exons: 2
Source: RefSeq, a predicted model, not a curated record
UCGAGGCGUGCCUCACACAAAAUUUGAUUAUAUUUAUUUCAUGUUUUCUUGUUUGUUGCUAGGAUACAAGAUUUUCCCAAAAAUAUUUUGUAUGCCCGCUAGAGAGCGGGGGAAGGUGGAGAGUAAGCUGGGUUUAAUUAAAAACAAAAAGAGCCAGCCAAUCCAUUUUGUUGAAGUUCUAGCAGUUGCUUAGAAAUAAAAAUCUGAUUUCUCAGCCAGAGGGAAUUUUCCAGGAAUGCCUUUGCCCAGUUUCAGAUGGGCCUGAAACCGGACCGAAAAGGUGGCAAUUAGGCACUGCAGAAUAAAAUGCCCAGAACGAAUGCGAGAACAGAAACCAAUUAAUUCGCAUUGAUUUUAAUUGAAUCCAAUUACAAAUCCAGAAAAUAUAUUGACAGAUUUGAAAGCCA